UGCCUGCCCAGUGAAUAUUAAACGGCCGCGGUAUUUUGACCGUGCAAAGGUAGCGCAAUCACUUGCCCCCUAAUUAGGGGCCUGUAUGAAUGGCUAGACGAAGGCCCAACUGUCUCCCUUUUCAAAUCAGUUAAAUUGAUCUACCUGUGCAGAAGCAGGUAUCCACCUACAAGACGAGAAGACCCUUUGGAGCUUAAGAUUAAAGUCAAUUACAUCAAUAAGUUAUACUUAAACUAAGUAAUACUGACCCGCAUCUUCGGUUGGGGCGACCGCGGGGGAAAACCAAGCCCCCAUGAAGAAAGAUAAACCCUUCUAAACCCAGAAAGACAUUUCUAAGUCACAGAACAUCUGACUAAAAGAUCCGUUUUUAUACGACCAGCGAACCAAGUUACCCAAGGGAUAACAGCGCAAUCCCCUUCCAGAGUCCCUAUCGACAAGGGGGUUUACGACCUCGAUGUUGGAUCAGGACAUCCUAAUGGUGUAGCCGCUAUUAA
RNAcentral lists this ribosomal RNA (494 nucleotides) under Electrophorus voltai. RNAcentral describes it as "partial 16S ribosomal RNA". It matches the Rfam family "Bacterial large subunit ribosomal RNA", at positions 1856 to 2568 of the family's 2925-position model. Lineage: Eukaryota; Metazoa; Chordata; Actinopteri; Gymnotiformes; Gymnotidae. The record is from RNAcentral.